RNAcentral lists this ribosomal RNA (253 nucleotides) under uncultured bacterium. RNAcentral describes it as "partial 16S ribosomal RNA". It matches the Rfam family "Bacterial small subunit ribosomal RNA", at positions 524 to 776 of the family's 1533-position model. The record is from RNAcentral.
UACGGAGGGUGCAAACGUUGCUCGGAAUCAUUGGGCGUAAAGCGCACGUAGGUGGCGUGUUAAGUCGGGUGUGAAAUCCCUGGACUCAACCCAGGAAGUGCACUCGAAACUGGCACGCUUGAGUACUGAAGAGGGUCGCGGAAUUCCCGGUGUAGAGGUGAAAUUCGUAGAUAUCGGGAGGAACACCAGUGGCGAAGGCGGCGACCUGGGCAGAUACUGACACUGAGGUGCGAAAGCGUGGGGAGCAAACAGG